This 206-nucleotide ribosomal RNA is filed under the name uncultured bacterium. RNAcentral's name for it is "partial 16S ribosomal RNA". It matches the Rfam family "Bacterial small subunit ribosomal RNA", at positions 568 to 774 of the family's 1533-position model. The record is from RNAcentral.
UGCGUAGACGGCCUGACAAGUCAGAAGUGAAAGGCUACGGCUCAACCGUGGUAAGCUUUUGAAACUGUCAGGCUUGAGUGCAGGAGAGGAGAGCGGAAUUCCUGGUGUAGCGGUGAAAUGCGUAGAUAUCAGGAAGAACACCAGUAGCGAAGGCGGCUCUCUGGACUGAAACUGACGCUGAGGCACGAAAGCGUGGGGAGCGAACA